This 364-nucleotide unclassified non-coding RNA is filed under the name Hevea brasiliensis (rubber tree). The record is from RNAcentral. Lineage: Eukaryota; Viridiplantae; Streptophyta; Magnoliopsida; Malpighiales; Euphorbiaceae.
CUAAACAACACAUUGCAAAAUUCAGUAGGACGAAAGGGUUAGCUUGCAUGUAAUUAUCAUCCAUCAGGCAAUUUGGCCUUCAUUUCAUAAACCAGGCAAAGGAUACUGGGACGUCAAAGCUUCGACUCUUUUUUGCAAGUCCAACACCUUAUCCAUCAAACUAAAAUCUGGGGAUGUAACAACCUUCAUGAAAUCUUGGAGUUUGGUAGUAGAGACGGACUUCUUGGCUUCAAGGGUAAUUUGCACACCCUCGUGAAUAAAAUCUGCAACUGAUACAAAUUCCUUCUCUGUAAAACCUCGAGUGGUCAUGGCUGGUGAGCCUAUGCGGAUGCCACCCGGUACUAGUGCGCUUUUAUCACCAGGC